AUUGUUAUUCUCGCCCUUUUGUCUAAGAUCAAAGUGUAGUAUCUGUUCUUUUAAGCUUAAUAUCUGAUCAGAGUACCAUGUGUCCUCUUCGAUAUUAAACUUAUUUCCGUUAAGAGGUAUAUGUGCGGUGCUUGCAAUGUCUCCACUAUGAGUUGACCAGGUAUUACAAUACCCCCAGGACCGGCUCACGGUUA
Molecule: small nuclear RNA, 194 nt
Filed under: Lepeophtheirus salmonis (salmon louse)
Lineage: Eukaryota; Metazoa; Arthropoda; Copepoda; Siphonostomatoida; Caligidae
Description: U2 spliceosomal RNA
Rfam family: U2 spliceosomal RNA
About the family: U2 is a small nuclear RNA (snRNA) component of the spliceosome (involved in pre-mRNA splicing). Complementary binding between U2 snRNA (in an area lying towards the 5' end but 3' to hairpin I) and the branchpoint sequence (BPS) of the intron results the bulging out of an unpaired adenosine, on the BPS, which initiates a nucleophilic attack at the intronic 5' splice site, thus starting the first of two transesterification reactions that mediate splicing.
Source: Rfam by way of RNAcentral